RNAcentral lists this ribosomal RNA (440 nucleotides) under uncultured Duganella sp. Its description in RNAcentral is "bacterial SSU rRNA". It matches the Rfam family "Bacterial small subunit ribosomal RNA", at positions 358 to 790 of the family's 1533-position model. Lineage: Bacteria; Pseudomonadati; Pseudomonadota; Betaproteobacteria; Burkholderiales; Oxalobacteraceae. The record is from RNAcentral.
GGAAUUUUGGACAAUGGGCGCAAGCCUGAUCCAGCAAUGCCGCGUGAGUGAAGAAGGCCUUCGGGUUGUAAAGCUCUUUUGUCAGGGAAGAAACGGUGUUUUCUAAUACAGAACGCUAAUGACGGUACCUGAAGAAUAAGCACCGGCUAACUACGUGCCAGCAGCCGCGGUAAUACGUAGGGUGCAAGCGUUAAUCGGAAUUACUGGGCGUAAAGCGUGCGCAGGCGGUUUUGUAAGACUGUCGUGAAAUCCCCGGGCUCAACCUGGGAAUGGCGAUGGUGACUGCAAGGCUAGAGUUUGGCAGAGGGGGGUAGAAUUCCACGUGUAGCAGUGAAAUGCGUAGAUAUGUGGAGGAACACCGAUGGCGAAGGCAGCCCCCUGGGUCAAAACUGACGCUCAUGCACGAAAGCGUGGGGAGCAAACAGGAUUAGAUACCCGAG